AACGCACGAGACCUGCGGACCUGCGGAGGGAUCAUUACCGAGUUUUCAACUCCCAAACCCCUGUGAACAUACCUAUCGUUGCCUCGGCGAGAGUAGCCCCAGGCGUUGGCGCAAGCCUUCGCCCUGGUAUCAGGCGCUCGCCGGAGGACCCAACUAAACUCUUGUAUUCUAAAGAAUCUUCUGAGUAACCAAAACAAAUAAAUUAAAACUUUCAACAAUGGAUCUCUAGAUCGGAAGAGC
RNAcentral lists this unclassified non-coding RNA (240 nucleotides) under soil metagenome. RNAcentral describes it as "partial contains 5.8S ribosomal RNA, internal transcribed spacer 2, and large subunit ribosomal RNA". The record is from RNAcentral.